This 71-nucleotide small RNA is filed under the name Homo sapiens (human). Its description in RNAcentral is "nc063 non-coding RNA". The record is from RNAcentral. Lineage: Eukaryota; Metazoa; Chordata; Mammalia; Primates; Hominidae.
AGUUCUGUCCAAAAAUAGAAGAAAUUGUUUCAUGUGGUCACAAGCUGCUUGUCACUAGAAGUAUUUAAACU